Molecule: ribosomal RNA, 257 nt
Filed under: uncultured bacterium
Lineage: Bacteria
Description: partial 16S ribosomal RNA
Rfam family: Bacterial small subunit ribosomal RNA
Source: RNAcentral
UACAGAGGGUGCGAGCGUUGUCCGGAAUCACUGGGCGUAAAGGGCGCGUAGGUGGCGCCCCAAGUCCGUGGUGAAAGCCCGUGGCUCAACUACGGGUCGGCCACCGAUACUGCUAUGGCUCGAGUUUGGUAGAGGCAGAUGGAAUUCCGGGUGUAGCGGUGGAAUGCGUAGAGAGUCCGGAAGAACGACCGGUGGCGAAGGCGGUCUGCUGGGCCAAGACUGACGGCUGAGGCGCGACAGCGUGGGGAGCAAACAGG